RNA transcript from Magnolia sinica, 3042 nucleotides. It is a transcript of the gene named protein FAR1-RELATED SEQUENCE 5-like, with no coding region annotated. NCBI's taxonomy places the organism in Eukaryota, Viridiplantae, Streptophyta, Magnoliopsida, Magnoliales, Magnoliaceae. The record is from RefSeq and is a predicted model, not a curated record. The transcript is spliced from 4 exons.
CGUACAAAGUGCCAUAAACAGGAGUGCGUACUGGCCCCCUGCGCGUACUCCAGAGGGUCUCCCUCUCCGCUUCUCCCUCUCGGCAAACCCAAGCUUUCAAAACCGUCCAGAUGCGAAAACCCUAACACCCUUCUCCAUUUCCGUACUCCAGAAUACCCCUUUUUCUCCUUCACAAAUCCCCAAAUCCUCAAAUCCCAAACCUAUCCCGUCCCUCCUCACCUCACGACCCUCUCUUUCUGCGGCGGCGGUAGCAGCAGCAGCAGAGAAGACGGCUCCCUCUCUUUAUCUGUCACACCCUAGAAAUCCUCGGAGCCUCCGAUCAGGAAGCUUCGUCGAGAAGAGAUUUCUCAGCUUCCGUCUCUUUAUAACCCUAACGCCUCGAACGCCGAUCUGCUGGUGUUUUUCUUCGAUUGGGUGGGACAGAAUCUAGGAUUUCGCGAUUCUGGUGUUCUCUUUUCGUGAUCUGCUGUUUCUAGGCGGAGAAAGGAAUCUAAGCGGCCAUCAGAUUCCAGCAUUCUCGCUGAUUUCAGCACGUAUACUAGAUUUCUAUUUCCGUUAUCAGUGACCAUCAUGGAAAACGCCGUGAAUCAUGACAAUGCGUUGAUAGAAUUUCUCAUGCGCUCCCAAGACGACACAACAGAAUGCCGCAUCGCACCGGUUACGGAACGCCGUCGGGCUGAGGAUCGUAUGAUGAUCGGUGGUUUUGAAGGAGCUGAAUACAUCGAACCAUACGAGGGCAUGGAGUUUGAUUCCGAGGAGGCCGCGAGGGUGUUCUACAAUGCGUAUGCACGGCGUGCUGGUUUCGGCAUCCGCCUCAGCAACAACCUCCGCUCGAAGAAAGAUAGGAGAACAAUCGCUCGGAAAUUUGUGUGUUUCAAGGAGGGCUUUCGUGCGAAGAAGCAUCUGUAUAAUGUAAACAGAAUUAAGAAGCCACGGGCAAUCACUAGAGAAGGCUGUGGGGCGAUGUUGAUGGUGAAGAAAACGGAGCUCGGUAAGUGGGUUGUUACAAAAUUUGUGAAGGAGCAUAAUCAUCCAUUUCUUAGUCCAAAUGAAGUUAUGCUGCUUCGGUCCCACAGGAAUGCAUCUGAUACUCCAAAAAGUCGGAUGAAACAUUCUGAUGGGGAAGCAAGUAAAACGGUGUCCAUUUUUGGUGUCGAAGGCAGUGGAAUGAACAAUGCUGGUUAUGGAGAGCAAGAUGUUGGAAACCAUGGCCAAACUGGCCCAAAAAGAAAGAAGAACCUCGGAAGAGAUAUUGAGAAUGUCCUGGACUAUUUCAGGCGCAUGCAGUCUGAGAAUCCUGCCUUCUAUUAUGCAAUACAGGUCGAUGAGGCUCGGUCUUCGUGCAGUAUGUUCUGGUCUGAUGCGAGGUCGCGGAUGGCUUGCAACUACUUUGGUGAUGUGGUUUACUUUGACAUGAUAUAUGAGAUGAAUCGAUACGAAAUGUCAGUUGCUCUAUUCACUGGAGUGAACCAUCACCAACGGUCAGUGUUGUUUGGCUGUGCACUGCUUAUUGAUGAAUCCGAAGCAUCAUUUGUUUGGCUAUUUAAGGCAUGGCUCGAAGCAAUGUGUGGGCACCAUCCUAUCUCCAUCAUCACUGACCAAGAUGCGACUAUUGGAGCAGCAAUUGCAGAGGUUUUCCCAGAAACCCAUCAUUGUUUUAACAAGUGGCACAUCUUAAAUAAUGCCCCAAAGCAGUUGUCUCAUGUGUAUCUCACAUAUCCCACCUUCCAAAGGGAAUUCGAGAAAUGCAUCAACCUAACUGAGACAAUCGAUGAGUUUGAAUCAUGUUGGGAGUUGCUUGUUGAUAGAUAUGAGCUAAGGGGGAAUGAAUGGCUUCAGUUAUUAUACAGUGCUCGUAAAAAAUGGGUCCCAGUGUACUUACGGGGUACAUUCUUUGGACAAAUGCCUACAAGUCCACGGGGUGAAAUUAUAAAUUCAUUCUUGGAUGGUUACAUGAAUGCAAACACCAAUUUGCAAGAGUUCGUUUCACAGAUGGAAAGACGCUUAGAAACUUGGUAUGAAAAGGAACUCGAAGAAGACGUUCAGACAAUGCAUGCCAAACCGGAUUUGAAGACGAAAUUAUUGAUUGAAAAACAAGUGGCAACCAUUUAUACGACACGAAUGUUUCAGAAAUUUCAAGAGGAAAUAUUUGAAAGCGUGGCCUAUGCUGCAAACAAAAUAGCAGAAGAUGGGGAAGUUAGCACAUUUAGGGUGGCAAAAUAUGAGGAUAAUCAAAGGAGGGCACAUACUGUUACAUUACACGUGGCCGAAAGAAGAGCAGGUUGUAGCUGUCAGAUGUUUGAGUUUUUAGGCAUACUUUGUCGGCACAUAUUAAAAGUUUUCAUCAUAUCAAAUAUCACAGUGCUUCCUCCUCAUUACAUCUUAGAGCGCUGGACAAGAAACGCAAAGGGUCGUGAUGUUUUUGACGAUCGAGGUGUUGCAAUUCGAGCUAAUACUCGAGAGUCAGUGACCUUGCGGUACAAUAAUCUAUGUAAGCAAGCCAUUAGAUGUGUGGAGGAAGGGGCGACUGCUGGAGAGAGUUACGAUGUGGCAGUUCAUGCUCUACGAGCAGCUUGGGAAAGAAUUGUUGCCUCCAAAGAAAGGUUAGCUAGAGGUACACAGCUUGGCACUCCUGUUGGUGGUAGUACUCGGGCAGACAUUAUUCCUGUGCAGAGUGAAGCAGAUGAUACAACAAACCAUAUAACUUUGAGUGACCCUCGACAAUUGUACCCUUGGCAUCUGUAGUUCCAGACCUAACAGUUACCAUUAACGUGAAGUUACAUUUUCUGAUCUAGAUAACUUCUCUUGCAAAUUCAAGGCUUGGGAACACAAAUGACUCCUUGGUGGCUGGGAGCUGCUUCAUCUGGACCUUGGAUGCUUUUUAGGUUUUUUGGUUUUUUUUUUCCUUUGUUGUUUUUAUCUGAUGUUUUGCUAGUUCUUAUAUAAGCUUCCUUGUGAGAAUUUCUCCUCUUUUAGAUAUGUAAGAACCAAAACAAAAACAUUGAAUGGGAUUAGCUUUUUCAGAUAUCUUAUUUUUGUGGA